UUUCACAUAUGAUGCUGAGGCUAUUAGAGGAUGGCUGAGAAGUGGCCACAAUACUUCCCCCAUGACAAAUCUUAAACUUGCGCACUGCAGCCUACUCCCUAAUCAUGCUCUUCAUCAGGCAAUUCAAGAGUGGCAGCAACGUUGGUGAAUUUUUAUUAUUAUAUGAGAUGAGAUGUAUGCACAGUGGUUAAAGUACAAAGCUCCCAACUGNCAGACCUUGAUACCCAUUAAAAUUAAACAUAACAUGAUGUAUAGAGCAACAGCACGCCG
This 270-nucleotide unclassified non-coding RNA is filed under the name Hevea brasiliensis (rubber tree). Lineage: Eukaryota; Viridiplantae; Streptophyta; Magnoliopsida; Malpighiales; Euphorbiaceae. The record is from RNAcentral.